AAGAAGAACUGACAUCAGCAUUUUAACUUCUAAUUAAAAAAGUAUGGGCAGGACUCAUAUUCUUCUUA
RNAcentral lists this transfer RNA (68 nucleotides) under Isodiametra pulchra. RNAcentral's name for it is "tRNA-Ser". The record is from RNAcentral. Lineage: Eukaryota; Metazoa; Xenacoelomorpha; Acoela; Isodiametridae.